Molecule: ribosomal RNA, 862 nt
Filed under: uncultured bacterium
Lineage: Bacteria
Description: bacterial SSU rRNA
Rfam family: Bacterial small subunit ribosomal RNA
Source: RNAcentral
AGAGGUUGAUCCUGGCUCAGAACGAACGCUGGCGGCAGGCUUAACACAUGCAAGUCGAGCGCACUCUUCGGAGUGAGCGGCGGACGGGUUAGUAACGCGUGGGAACGUGCCCUUCUCUAAGGAAUAGCCACUGGAAACGGUGAGUAAUACCUUAUACGCCCUUCGGGGGAAAGAUUUAUCGGAGAAGGAUCGGCCCGCGUUAGAUUAGAUAGUUGGUGGGGUAAUGGCCUACCAAGUCUACGAUCUAUAGCUGGUUUUAGAGGAUGAUCAGCAACACUGGGACUGAGACACGGCCCAGACUCCUACGGGAGGCAGCAGUGGGGAAUCUUGGACAAUGGGCGCAAGCCUGAUCCAGCCAUGCCGCGUGAGUGAUGAAGGCCUUAGGGUCGUAAAGCUCUUUCGCCAGAGAUGAUAAUGACAGUAUCUGGUAAAGAAACCCCGGCUAACUCCGUGCCAGCAGCCGCGGUAAUACGGAGGGGGUUAGCGUUGUUCGGAAUUACUGGGCGUAAAGCGCACGUAGGCGGAUCAGAAAGUAUAGGGUGAACUCCCAGGGCUCAACCCUGGAACUGCCUUGUAAACUCCUGGUCUUGAGUUCGAGAGAGGUGAGUGGAAUUCCGAGUGUAGAGGUGAAAUUCGUAGAUAUUCGGAGGAACACCAGUGGCGAAGGCGGCUCACUGGCUCGAUACUGACGCUGAGGUGCGAAAGUGUGGNGAGCAAACAGGAUUAGAUACCCUGGUAGUCCACACCGUAAACGAUGAAUGCCAGACGUCAGCAAGCAUGCUUGUUGGUGUCACACCUAACGGAUUAAGCAUUCCGCCUGGGGAGUACGGUCGCAAGAUUAAAACUCAAAGGAAUUGACGGG